This is a long non-coding RNA of Xenopus laevis (African clawed frog), 968 nucleotides long. RefSeq lists it as uncharacterized. The record is from RefSeq and is a predicted model, not a curated record. Lineage: Eukaryota; Metazoa; Chordata; Amphibia; Anura; Pipidae. The transcript is spliced from 3 exons.
UAGUCCUAUUUGGGCGUCACAGGGUUAACUGAGCCUUAGCCCCUCCCACAGGCGUGUGUCUGGUUAGCGCUGGGGAGUGGGAGUCGCACUUGGGUUCAGUACAGAGUCGCACGCCUAUAGUACAGUAGACAGUGAUCAGCGAGCAGAAGUUGCAGGAUGAAGCCCAUGUUUGUAGCGGCGACUUUGCUCCUCCUUUGCCUGAUCCCCGUGCCGGCAGUUUUUGGGUGGUCCUUGGAUUAUUCCUCUUGGCAGUCAUCUUAAUCGUAGCUGGAGUUAUCACUUGCAUCUGCAAAUCCGUCUGUUAUCUGUUCAGCGCUUGCCUUGAUUGUAUCUGCUGCCGUAAGCCAAGAGAAGGAAAUCAGACUUUUAUGGAAUUCCCUUGAAGCCUCUGACUUGCCAAUUGCUUAUAUUUUACUACUGGAUUAUCUAAAUGGAGAGAAGAUGACCCACCCUUUGAGUGGCAAGUGUUGCUUUGCAGCCAUAUGAGUGCAUUUUCUGGUACAUGUUUUGCUUUAGUCACUACAGUUAGGAAUCACUGAUAGAUUCUAUACAUUAUGAGUUUACGUUUAUGGCUAUUCACUGACAAUAUAAAGCAUUAUGUUCAUUCUUCUGGGAUAAGAAUUUCCCAUACACAUUCCAUAUACUGCCCGAACAGUUACAUGGGGAUCACACACUGUAUGCCCCCCAUUCCUGUUGUUCUGGAACUACAAAAACACGGGUAUCCUGUACCCUCCAGAUAUUGUUAAAUUAUAAUAGCCACAACUUAAGCCUGACAAGACGGUGUUGGGAGUUCAAUAUCUGGACAGAUUUCUUUACUGAAACAAUUAAUGGCUUCAACAUAACUCCCUGUACGUAAAUUCCAAAUAUUUCCCCGUCAGAUGCAGCUGAUUGUGUUCUUUUUUAUUGUAAGUUCUUUGUAUUAAAACGGGAUGUUCACCUUUAGAAAUGUAUUAUUUUAAAGAAGUAUA